RNAcentral lists this ribosomal RNA (252 nucleotides) under uncultured bacterium. RNAcentral's name for it is "partial 16S ribosomal RNA". It matches the Rfam family "Bacterial small subunit ribosomal RNA", at positions 524 to 776 of the family's 1533-position model. The record is from RNAcentral.
CACGUAGGCUACGAGCGUUAUCCGGAUUCACUGGGCGUAAAGUGCGUGGAGGCGGCUCUGUAAGUUGGACGUGAAAGCCCCGGGCUUAACUCGGGGAGGCCGUUCAAUACUGCGGGGCUUGAGGGCAGCAGAGGAAGGCGGAAUUCCCGGUGUAGUGGUGAAAUGCGUAGAUAUCGGGAGGAACACCAGUGGCGAAGGCGGCCUUCUGGGCUGUCCCUGACGCUGAAGGCGAAAGCCAGGGGAGCGAACGGG